This 2280-nucleotide long non-coding RNA is filed under the name Canis lupus familiaris (dog). RNAcentral's name for it is "lncRNA (ENSCAFG00030011334.1)". The record is from RNAcentral. Lineage: Eukaryota; Metazoa; Chordata; Mammalia; Carnivora; Canidae.
AUGUUCCAGCCAUCCUUCACACACACCUUAAGUGAAAUUAAUGAGAUCACUCUAUGGUUACGCUUUGUGUUUUAUUUUCACUUUCUAGGUCUGUAUGAGCUGUUGGCUGUUGUGCCAGGCCGGCUGGGGCCACGUGUGGACAGCCAGGAAGACCUGACCUUCCUCUGGGAUAUGUUUGGUGAGAAAAGCCUGCAUUCACUGGUAAAGAUCUUCACAAUAUCCUGGGUAGCCUUAUGUUGUGAGGUGGAAGUCUCUACUCUUCUGUGGGUAAGUUUAUGAAAAGACUGAAGUUCGUUUGUCCUUUAGCAGAACUGACUUGUUGGGUUCCUUGGGCCUGGAUGUUUUCUUUUUGAUAAGGAUAUUGGUAACUAUUUUAAAGAUGACAAGAACGUUUAGGCUUUCUAUUUCUUCUUGAUUAGUUUUAAUGAUUCAUAUUUUUCUAAGAUUUGGUCCAUUUCAACUACAUUGUCAAAUUUCUGAAAAGGUUGCUUAUAAUAUUUCACAUGUGCACUUUCUAUGCUAAUUGUUUUUCUUCUUGGUCCUGAUAUUGGUACUUACUGCCCUUUCUUCUCUUUCCUCAAUAUUGCCAGAGUUUUGGCAUUAGUCUUUUUAGAUAUAAACCUUUGGCCUUAUUAAUUUUCCUCAUUGUAUAUUAGUUUUUAUUUCAUUGACUUUUUUUAAAAAAUUCUUUUUCUAGUUAUGAACGUUUGUUCAUAAAUUUUCAACCUUCUUCUUUUCCUAACGUUAGCAUUUAAGGCCAUUUCUCCCAAGGUACUGGUUUUCUUAACUUAGAAUCAUUUUGUAGUUGCUUACUUAGACUUUUCUUGAAUUUACAAAUAAGGAUUUUUUUAAUUUAUCUUGUUCCUGAUUUCUACCUUAAUUGCUUUGAGGUCAGAAAACCUAAUUUGCAUUAUUUCAGUCCUUUGAAAUGUGUUUACACUUUAUGGCCAGCUACAUAUUCAAUAUCUGUAAUGUAUCCUGUCUGUGUCUAAAAAGAAGGUAUAUUCUGCAGUCAUUAAGUAUAGUUUUUUGUAUAUGUCUGUAGAUCAAGUUUGUAAACCUAUUCAAAUAUUCUGUGUUUUCACUGAUUUUUGUUCGUUUAUUCUCUGUUACCAAGAGAAGUAUGGUAAAAAAGUUUCCCAUUAUGACCAUGGUUUUCUUCUUGCAGUUCUGUUCAGUUUUUUUUGUGUUUUUUUUUAAAUUUAAUUUAUUUAUCGGACACUGAAGAAGCAGGAGGAGUGACAGGCAGAGAGAGAGAGAGGGAGAAGCAGGCUCCCCCCUGGAGCAAGGACCCUGAUGUGGGCCUUGAUUCCAGGACCCUGGAAUCUUGACGGGAGUUGAAGGCAGGUGCUUAACCGACUGAGCCACCCAGGCUCCCUCUGUUCAUUUUUUGUUGUAUAUAUUUAAAUUUGUUAUUAAAUAUAAAUUUGUUAUUUUGCUGGUGAAUUACUACACUUUAUACUUUUUAAUAGAGUUUAUUUUAAAGUAGAUACGUUUUUGUUGCCAUUUGCAGGAUAUCUUUUCCUAUCCUUUUAUUGUCAACUCUUCCAUAUUCCUGCUUUAUUACAGCUUUUGUGAAUUACAGUUGGAGCUUUCUGAGGUAACAAGUCAGAAGUCUUUACUUUCAGCUAGAAUAUCUUCACUACAGUUCAUUAUGAUGUAUGAUCUUUAUAAUUUAAAAUCUGACGUAUUUUGUGUUUUCUUGUCCUGAUUUUUCUUUGUUUCUUUUGGAUUGGUUAGGGUUUUCCUUGCAUACAGUUGAGAAGUUAAAACAUUCUCUUUCUGUUAUUUGAGUGGCUACCUUAGAAAUUAUGACAUUAAUCCUUUAUUAUAAAAUCCUAUCUUAAUCUGUCUAUUGUCAUCUGGAAAAGAUCCAGAAAUCUUAGCGCACUUUUGCCCCAUAUACUUUCCUGCCAACUUCAGUGCUAUUGUGUCCUGUAUUUUAAUUCUCUCUAGAAAACAAACAGAAAAACAAAAACCCCUCACAACCUUGAAGACCUCCUUAUUUUGCUUUACAUCAACGUCAUUAUUCAUUUAGUAUAACCACCAUUUUGUUUGUUCUAGUCCCAAUCUUACAGCUCAGCCUUGUCAUCCAGGCUGAUUUUUCACCUGUUUAAUGUUAAAAAGCUCUAGAAUCUCCUGUAUUGAGGGUUUGUGGCUAUCAAACUAUGUCUUUCAGUGAAUCAGUACAUGUUUUUAUUUCCUUCCAUUUUUUUUUCGUUUUAUUAAAUUAUAAUCGAUAUAUGACACACUAGUUUCAGGCGUGCAACAUAAAAUUUG